AGAGUUUGAUCCUGGCUCAGGACGAACGCUGGCGGCGUGCUUAACACAUGCAAGUCGAACGAUGAAGCCCUUCGGGGUGGAUUAGUGGCGAACGGGUGAGUAACACGUGGGCAAUCUGCCCUUCACUCUGGGACAAGCCCUGGAAACGGGGUCUAAUACCGGAUAACACUCUGUCCCGCAUGGGACGGGGUUAAAAGCUCCGGCGGUGAAGGAUGAGCCCGCGGCCUAUCAGCUUGUUGGUGGGGUAAUGGCCUACCAAGGCGACGACGGGUAGCCGGCCUGAGAGGGCGACCGGCCACAUGGGACUGAGACACGGCCCAGACUCCUACGGGAGGCAGCAGUGGGGAAUAUUGCACAAUGGGCGAAAGCCUGAUGCAGCGACGCCGCGUGAGGGAUGACGGCCUUCGGGUUGUAAACCUCUUUCAGCAGGGAAGAAGCGAGAGUGACGGUACCUGCAGAAGAAGCGCCGGCUAACUACGUGCCAGCAGCCGCGGUAAUACGUAGGGCGCAAGCGUUGUCCGGAAUUAUUGGGCGUAAAGAGCUCGUAGGCGGCUUGUCACGUCGGAUGUGAAAGCCCGGGGCUUAACCCCGGGUCUGCAUCGAUACGGGCUAGCUAGAGUGUGGUAGGGGAGAUCGGAAUUCCUGGUGUAGCGGUGAAAUGCGCAGAUAUCAGGAGGAACACCGGUGGCGAAGGCGGAUCUCUGGGCCAUUACUGACGCUGAGGAGCGAAAGCGUGGGGAGCGAACAGGAUUAGAUACCCUGGUAGUCCACGCCGUAAACGUUGGGAACUAGGUGUUGGCGACAUUCCACGUCGUCGGUGCCGCAGCUAACGCAUUAAGUUCCCCGCCUGGGGAGUACGGCCGCAAGGCUAAAACUCAAAGGAAUUGACGGGGGCCCGACAAGCAGCGGAGCAUGUGGCUUAAUUCGACGCAACGCGAAGAACCUUACCAAGGCUUGACAUAUACCGGAAAGCAUCAGAGAUGGUGCCCCCCUUGUGGUCGGUAUACAGGUGGUGCAUGGCUGUCGUCAGCUCGUGUCGUGAGAUGUUGGGUUAAGUCCCGCAACGAGCGCAACCCUUGUUCUGUGUUGCCAGCAUGCCCUUCGGGGUGAUGGGGACUCACAGGAGACUGCCGGGGUCAACUCGGAGGAAGGUGGGGACGACGUCAAGUCAUCAUGCCCCUUAUGUCUUGGGCUGCA
RNAcentral lists this ribosomal RNA (1197 nucleotides) under Streptomyces flavogriseus. RNAcentral's name for it is "bacterial SSU rRNA". It matches the Rfam family "Bacterial small subunit ribosomal RNA", at positions 8 to 1218 of the family's 1533-position model. Lineage: Bacteria; Bacillati; Actinomycetota; Actinomycetes; Kitasatosporales; Streptomycetaceae. The record is from RNAcentral.